UACGUAGGGGGCUAGCGUUUGUCCGGAAUCAUUUGGGCGUAAAGCGCGUGUAGGCGGUUCGGUAAGUCCGCUGUGAAAGUCGGGGGGCUCAACCCUCGGAUGCCGGUGGAUACUGUCGAGCUUUGAGUACGGAAGAGGCGAGUUGGAAUUCCUGGUGUAGCGGGUGAAAUGCGCAGAUAUCAGGAGGAACACCAAUUGCGAAGGCAGCUCGCUGGGACGUUACUGACGCUGAGACGCGAAAGCGUGGGGGAGCGAACAGG
This 260-nucleotide ribosomal RNA is filed under the name uncultured bacterium. RNAcentral's name for it is "partial 16S ribosomal RNA". It matches the Rfam family "Bacterial small subunit ribosomal RNA", at positions 524 to 776 of the family's 1533-position model. The record is from RNAcentral.